CAGGAUGGAUUCUGCUACAUUGGCGACAUUUGUAUACCUGAUGGUGACGCGGAUCUUGACAACGCAUGCAAUGUUUGUAACAUAUCAAAAAAUCCAUUCCAGUGGUCAAAUGUUUGUCCAACAACAACUGUAACCACAAGAAGUACAGAAGAAGUGACAACUACAACAAAAAGACUUUCCACGCUAUUAAGUACAGUGCAAAGUACGACCAAACUUGCAGUGCCAACCACAGAAAGUCCAGCGCCUCCCCUACUGCGUAACAUUGUUCCUGAACUCAAGUUCACAAAGACAGAGAGUAGACAGGAUAACACGACAGAUACUGUUAUCACAUAUAUACCUGAUCUUCAAUUCCGAUGUAAUUUCAGUAUAUUAAGCCAAUAUUUGUAC
This is a long non-coding RNA of Mercenaria mercenaria, 387 nucleotides long. RefSeq lists it as uncharacterized. The record is from RefSeq and is a predicted model, not a curated record. Lineage: Eukaryota; Metazoa; Mollusca; Bivalvia; Venerida; Veneridae. The transcript has 3 exons.